Molecule: long non-coding RNA, 484 nt
Organism: Dreissena polymorpha
Lineage: Eukaryota; Metazoa; Mollusca; Bivalvia; Myida; Dreissenidae
Exons: 3
Source: RefSeq, a predicted model, not a curated record
CAUAAAGUAAACAGUUCCGAUGUACCGGUACUGAGCAUUUCAGCAAGUUGAGUUCGAUGUUCUGAGCAUUUCAGCAAGUUGAGUUCGGACAGAAUACUUGAAAAGGGUAGAGUGGGAGAUCCUGUCUAGUAGACAAAGGACCAUGUCACCGUUUAUUCCUGUGUAUUGGACUGAAUCACAACAAAGGCUGCCAAUCUCCGCCCACCAUCUGUUACCGGCCUCAUUUGCAUACAGCUGUUACCCUCCUAAAGUCGGUGACAAAUGGCCUGAAGGCGACACAGGGGCACUCAAUUUUGAUGUAGUCUUGUUCUGUUGGAAAAAAGGAGUACCAGGAGAAAACCGCACCUGUUGUGUAUCGUUACCACCAAUCACACAAGCGCGAAGAACAGGGAUUGAUCCUGGGUUGCAUAAUGGUAAUAAACUGAAAUAAUGGUAGUUUACUCAACAAAUUUAAAAUCUCUAUUUUCAAAUAUUUUAUAUAACA